This is an RNA transcript of Drosophila nasuta, 2560 nucleotides long. It is a transcript of the gene named Tetraspanin 97E, with no coding region annotated. Lineage: Eukaryota; Metazoa; Arthropoda; Insecta; Diptera; Drosophilidae. The record is from RefSeq and is a predicted model, not a curated record. The transcript has 5 exons.
UUCCCCUCCAUCUCUUGUUCGACAAAGUGAAAGUGAAAUACAAAAAAUUUGUUAGUGUUGCGCUGUUUGCUGCUGGUGUUGAAACCUUCAAAGAAAUAAUUAAAUAAAUACAUAGCCAGAGGCAUAAAUAAAUUUGCACAACAAAGCGGUAGCUAAAAACGUUUGGCAAACAAAAUGUGUGGUGGAUUCACCUGCUCGAAGAACGCGCUAAUUGCGCUGAACAUUUUAUAUGUGAUGAUUGGAUUCUUGCUGAUUGGCGUCGGAGUUUAUGCAAGGGCAGCGUCUGUGGUCACGAAUCUGCCAAUUGUUGGAGGCAUCUUGGCCUGCGGCGUGAUACUCAUCUGCAUAUCCAUGCUGGGCCUUGCUGGCGCUGUGAAGCAUCAUCAAGUGAUGCUCUUCUUUUACAUGAUCAUUCUGUUCAUGCUGUUCCUCAUCCAGUUCUCCAUCGCCAGCUCUUGCCUCGCCGUCAAUGCCGAGCAGCAGCAACAGUUUGCCGAACAGGGUUGGAAGACGGUGCCGCCAAAUCUGCGAGAACAAGUUCAAGAGAAAUUCCUUUGCUGUGGCUUCAACGAUACCAUCGAUCACACCGCCAGCAUCAGCAAUGCGAUCACUGUGAACUCUGAUCCCAGUUGCGAGGAUGUGAAUAAGCAAUGCUGCGUGGACUCGCAGGAUCCUAAAUGCCAUUGCGGUCCUUGUGGUCCGCUGUUGGAGGAUAAAAUCGAUUAUGCCUUCAAGUUGUGCGGCGGCUUGGGCAUCUUCUUUAGCUUCACCGAGUUCGUUGGUGUCUGGCUAACAGUGCGCUAUCGCAAUCAAAAGGAUCCGCGCGGCUUGCCCAGCGCCUUCCUCUAAAUUGCAAAAACAAAACACUAAUCACUAAUCACUAAUCCAAUAACAUAAACAAAAACACCCAUAAAAAGACACAUCAUAUUGCUAAAUUGUUUGUGUCCCUCCCUCUAAAAAAAGAAAGAAAAAAAUAACAAAACGUUGAUGUCAAUGUGUAAAUUUCAUAUUCAUAGCGAGAAUAAUCGUGGGUCUGUUAGAUCAUCAUCAAAUACAUACAUCAUAUAUACGCAUCAUUUAUAUUUAUACUCAAAGUAAACAUCAUACCUUUAGAAAUACUAUAUAUUCAGAUAUAUAUAUACAUAUAUACAAAAACCAAAAAAAAAUGAUAUAGCUACGUGUUUAAUCCUUUUAACAAAACGCAAGCAAUCAAGUGUUUUUUCGAACUGAACAUGAAAACAUAUUUACAUCACAAAACAUAUUGCAACACUACUUUCAUCCUAACACAAAUGAAAAUCCUUUUAUGGGCGACACAUCGCUUAAUCCCCUCGAGAAUUUCAAGCACGGCUAACAGCACCUGGUUUUGGCCGUCUUUCUGGCACGUCGCUAUCGCAAUCAGCACGAUCCUUGCUAUUUACCCGCUCGGGCCGUCUUUCCCCACAAUUAUCAGUACUAAGCGAAGUGGAGGAGCGGAUGAAAUAAUUACGAAUGUGAAUGCAUCAAGAUCAAAGAGCCGAUUGGAAACAAAGGCAACUUUUAGUCAAAGGGACGAAGGCUGAUUUAUAAUUUUUACACAACAACUUCCUAGCAUGAACUGGCAAAUGGGAAAAUAGAAUGAAAGAAUGAAUUAACAAAAGGUCGUUUGGAGGAAGGACGAUGCUCAAUGUGCUAAAUGGACUGUUAAGAAAAAUGGGAAUUCAUUUGCGCAGCUCGUUGAGCAUCGUUUUGCAUCUAUUUUGCGUAUUCUCAGUUCUUAGUUUUAAUUGUGCAAAGUGAUUAAGUUUUUCCCCCCUAAACAAAAACAAUUCGAGAUUAUAAUUAUGUACGCUAUGUUUGUGUGUUCAUUCUAUAUAUUGUAAUGUAUAUUUUUUUUUAAGAUACUUUAAUUGUACAUUCAUUUUACACUUGUAUCGUUUAGUUAAGCACAUUUGUUAAUUUCGUUUUGCAACUGGCAACAAUCAUAAAACCAACUCACAAAAAAAAAGAAAAACUGCUGUACCACAUCUCAAAAGAAAGAACAUUUCGAACCUGAUCUAAAUGUAGAACCAAGUCAAAUGUAACUAGCAACGGUAACUGUGUUUUAAGAAGCGUAACAUAUACAUAAAGCAUAACAACUUAUAUACAUAUAUAUACAUAUAAACAAAAAGAAUUAAGAGAAUUCUAUAGAUGUUAGAUGUGUGUUGAACAAAAACUUUGAAAUUAGCACUUAAAUUGCAAAAGAGGCAACUAAACUAAAACAGAAACAAACAAAAACAUAUAUAUUGUAAUACAUGUCACUCUCUUCUUUUUCCAAAUAUCACACUGUACUUUUCUUUCCUGAUUUCUUUACUCUUUAUUACUCUCGCCUUAACUUGCACCCACGCAAGCAAAUCACUUUCAACUUCCUCACAACACAACCCAACAAGUUGGAUAUAGUUCUUUUCUUCUUAUGUUGCGUUUCGUAUUUCCUUUUCCAAAGCGACAAAGAAACGACAUUAAAUAAAAAAAAAAACAACAACAAAAUUCUCUGUAUUCUGUGCUGUGAUUGAAGUAAAUAUGAUCUUAAAAAAAAAAACAAAAA